This 22-nucleotide microRNA is filed under the name Gyrodactylus salaris (gyrodactylosis fluke). RNAcentral's name for it is "gsa-miR-96b-5p". Its record names the gene gsa-miR-96b-5p. Lineage: Eukaryota; Metazoa; Platyhelminthes; Monogenea; Gyrodactylidea; Gyrodactylidae. The record is from miRBase by way of RNAcentral.
CUUGGCACAUUGGAAUUGGCAC